GCAAGAAUGGCGGAAUUGGUAGACGCGCUACUUUGAGGGGGUAGUGAUUGUAAAAUCGUGGGAGUUCAAGUCUCCUUUCUUGCACCA
This 87-nucleotide transfer RNA is filed under the name Candidatus Onthousia faecavium. RNAcentral's name for it is "tRNA-Leu". It matches the Rfam family "tRNA". Rfam says of the family: Transfer RNA (tRNA) molecules are approximately 80 nucleotides in length. Lineage: Bacteria; Bacillati; Bacillota; Bacilli. The record is from RNAcentral.